Molecule: long non-coding RNA, 1680 nt
Organism: Oncorhynchus gorbuscha (pink salmon)
Lineage: Eukaryota; Metazoa; Chordata; Actinopteri; Salmoniformes; Salmonidae
Exons: 2
Source: RefSeq, a predicted model, not a curated record
GUUCUGUAUAGAUAUGACAUCAAUAAGACGAGGUUCUGUAUGUUCUGUAUAGAUAUGACAUCAAUAAGACGAGGUUCUGUAUGUUCUGUAUAGAUAUGACAUCAAUAAGACGAGGUUCUGUAUGUUCUGUAUAGAUAUGACAUCAAUAAGAUGAGGUUCUGUAUGUUCUGUAUAGAUAUGACAUCAAUAAGACGAGGUUCUGUAUGUUCUGUAUAGAUAUGACAUCAAUAAGACAAGGUUCUGUAUGUUCUGUAUAGAUAUGACAUCAAUAAGACAAGGUUCUGUAUGUUCUGUAUAGAUAUGACAUCAAUAAGACAAGGUUCUGUAUGUUCUGUAUAGAUAUGACAUCAAUAAGACGAGGUUCUGUAUGUUCUGUAUAGAUAUGACAUCAAUAAGACAAGGUUCUGUAUAGAUAUGACAUCAAUAAGACAAGGUUCUGUAUGUUCUGUAUAGAUAUGACAUCAAUAAGACGAGGUUCUGUAUGUUCUGUAUAGAUAUGACAUCAAUAAGACGAGGUUCUGUAUGUUCUGUAUAGAUAUGACAUCAAUAAGACGAGGUUCUGUAUGUUCUGUAUAGAUAUGACAUCAAUAAGACAAGGUUCUGUAUAGAUAUGACAUCAAUAAGACGAGGUUCUGUAUGUUCUGUAUAGAUAUGACAUCAAUAAGACGAGGUUCUGUAUGUUCUGUAUAGAUAUGACAUCAAUAAGACGAGGUUCUGUAUGUUCUGUAUAGAUAUGACAUCAAUAAGACGAGGUUCUGUAUAGAUAUGACAUCAAUAAGACGAUGUUCUGUAUGUUCUGUAUAGAUAUGACAUCAAUAAGACGAGGUUCUGUAUGUUCUGUAUAGAUAUGACAUCAAUAAGACAAGGUUCUGUAUGUUCUGUAUAGAUAUGACAUCAAUAAGACGAGGUUCUGUAUGUUCUGUAUAGAUAUGACAUCAAUAAGACGAGGUUCUGUAGGUGGACAUCGAAUCAUAUCAUGUUCUAUACUAAAACAUAUUAUUGAAAACAUGUACAGCUGGUAAACCAGAAAUAAAGACAGACCAUAGUUUUAAUUCUGUGUCCACAAACUGUUCAAAAAAAUACCUAUCUGUUCUUCUCAGCUCUGUUGAGACUCUUGGAGUUAUUGCAUUGUUAAAUCUCUAUUUUUUUAAGGUAUGAUACAUAUAUAUAUGUUUUAUAUGAAAAGGGAUUGGUUUAAAACUGGAGAUUUUAUUUAAUAGAUUUAUAACAUUCAAUUAUGUUGUUUUUUAAAACAUUUUUUUUUAAUGUUGAUAAAAUGUUUUGCCUUGAUGAGAACAUGCCAGGCAGGUGGAGGGUGACGAAAACAAAAUGGCUUCCUUUCAAAACAAUCGUGUUCCGUGUUCACGUGCUGAUCGGAACUUGGAACUUUCCGACCUGCUGACCGCUUGUGGUUAUUAAACAUGUGCCGCGUUCAACCAGUUAGAAAGACUGAAUUUCAGAGUUUUCCGACUAGCAAGUGAACACGACAUUUAAACCCCCAUUUUCCGGUACAGGGAUAUGAUGUCAUCAGUAUGAAUCUGCUGCAGGUGUUUUGACGAAUGUUCAUAUGUUUAUUUUUUAUUUUUUUCAAUAAUUUAAAUGAUUGAUUGAUUGUUUUUUAUCAGAAUGUUGUAUCACUGUUAAUUGAUCACUGUUAAUUGAUUGAAGGCAUCUACCUCA